AAGAAAUAAAUUAGUUUGAGGUUUGCAUAGAUUAUUAAAUAAAACCUCGCCAGAUGUUCUCUUAACCCGCAUUUCGCUCAUUUUGUGAAAGUCAGUGCAAGAAGAACACCGGUCGUGAAACUUGUAUAAAUAUCUUUAAAAUUUGUUCUGUUCACCAUCACUCGCGAAUCUUCAACCUAAAGAAGACUUUGUUAUUCUGCAGUCAUGAAGAGCAGUAGUAUGUUGAUGUUGUUCCUGGUGGUUCUGGUAGCUAUGCAGUGUUCUGCUGAACUACCCCCUCUUCCUCCAGAUGAUGCCGAUGACGACGUAAAAUACGCCGUAACAUACGAUGAUGAUGCAGGUACGAUGAUGCACGAGCAAGGUUUUAGGAGUCGACCCGCAAAAGGUGGUGUUUAGGUAGUACCCUUCUUCCUCAAUAAGGUUGCGCUAAAAUGGAGAAGAAAAAACACCCUCCAAAACUGAUAGACAACUUGUGUUUUGGUCUAUACCUCCUGUAAAUGAUGCCAGAGAGACACAAACGAAUGUCAGAGAGGCACAGCCAUAGCAACCUGAGGCUGGAGAUGGUGUGAUAUAAAAAGAACACGUAAAUUCCGGAAUGGUUUCUGGGACAGCGUCACCGAUCAUCCAACAUUUCUCUCGGCCGAUGUAUUUCUAAUUGGAUUUAGUGAUCAGUGAACAACAACAAAAACAACAAUGACAACAAUGAUAAUAAUGACGACGACAACUGUGGGAGUAGGAUUUGAGGCGGGACUGCACUACUUAUAGCUACAUGCGCCCUCUAUACAACCAACAAUGCCUUAGCGGUACCCAUUGAUCCCCAUGGUCCCCUUUUUCUUAUGUUAAUUGAUAGCUGAUUUGAUGUAAUAACCACCUGCCAGUAUGUGACCUAGCAGGGAGAUAUAAUCCCUCCAUGUCAAACUAGUACAGAUAGGCUUUAAUUGUAAUUCUAAACAAC
This is a long non-coding RNA of Strongylocentrotus purpuratus (purple sea urchin), 955 nucleotides long. RefSeq lists it as uncharacterized. NCBI's taxonomy places the organism in Eukaryota, Metazoa, Echinodermata, Echinoidea, Camarodonta, Strongylocentrotidae. The transcript has 2 exons. The record is from RefSeq and is a predicted model, not a curated record.